RNAcentral lists this ribosomal RNA (1076 nucleotides) under Staphylococcus aureus. RNAcentral describes it as "partial 23S ribosomal RNA". It matches the Rfam family "Bacterial large subunit ribosomal RNA", at positions 1118 to 2195 of the family's 2925-position model. Lineage: Bacteria; Bacillati; Bacillota; Bacilli; Caryophanales; Staphylococcaceae. The record is from RNAcentral.
AUCAUUUAAAGAGUGCGUAAUAGCUCACUAGUCGAGUGACACUGCGCCGAAAAUGUACCGGGGCUAAACAUAUUACCGAAGCUGUGGAUUGUCCUUUGGACAAUGGUAGGAGAGCGUUCUAAGGGCGUUGAAGCAUGAUCGUAAGGACAUGUGGAGCGCUUAGAAGUGAGAAUGCCGGUGUGAGUAGCGAAAGACGGGUGAGAAUCCCGUCCACCGAUUGACUAAGGUUUCCAGAGGAAGGCUCGUCCGCUCUGGGUUAGUCGGGUCCUAAGCUGAGGCCGACAGGCGUAGGCGAUGGAUAACAGGUUGAUAUUCCUGUACCACCUAUAAUCGUUUUAAUCGAUGGGGGGACGCAGUAGGAUAGGCGAAGCGUGCGAUUGGAUUGCACGUCUAAGCAGUAAGGCUGAGUAUUAGGCAAAUCCGGUACUCGUUAAGGCUGAGCUGUGAUGGGGAGAAGACAUUGUGUCUUCGAGUCGUUGAUUUCACACUGCCGAGAAAAGCCUCUAGAUAGAAAAUAGGUGCCCGUACCGCAAACCGACACAGGUAGUCAAGAUGAGAAUUCUAAGGUGAGCGAGCGAACUCUCGUUAAGGAACUCGGCAAAAUGACCCCGUAACUUCGGGAGAAGGGGUGCUCUUUAGGGUUAACGCCCAGAAGAGCCGCAGUGAAUAGGCCCAAGCGACUGUUUAUCAAAAACACAGGUCUCUGCUAAACCGUAAGGUGAUGUAUAGGGGCUGACGCCUGCCCGGUGCUGGAAGGUUAAGAGGAGUGGUUAGCUUCUGCGAAGCUACGAAUCGAAGCCCCAGUAAACGGCGGCCGUAACUAUAACGGUCCUAAGGUAGCGAAAUUCCUUGUCGGGUAAGUUCCGACCCGCACGAAAGGCGUAACGAUUUGGGCACUGUCUCAACGAGAGACUCGGUGAAAUCAUAGUACCUGUGAAGAUGCAGGUUACCCGCGACAGGACGGAAAGACCCCGUGGAGCUUUACUGUAGCCUGAUAUUGAAAUUCGGCACAGCUUGUACAGGAUAGGUAGGAGCCUUUGAAACGUGAGCGCUAGCUUACGUGGAGGCGCUGGUGG